This 237-nucleotide ribosomal RNA is filed under the name Triticum aestivum (bread wheat). RNAcentral's name for it is "partial small subunit ribosomal RNA". The record is from RNAcentral. Lineage: Eukaryota; Viridiplantae; Streptophyta; Magnoliopsida; Poales; Poaceae.
AUUGAUUUCACACGAGCUAAUGACCUCUGUAGUCUGCCUUCAGCCUGCUUCCUGCCAUCCUUCAAGAAGUCGUAUUCAUCUUCACCUUCUGCAGAUCCACCUUCUGCAGGUUGGAUCUGCGAGGACGGCCCUUCAAGUUGUUUGUCAGGUUGGAAACCACGCAAGCCCCUUCCCUUUCUCCUCCACCUCAGUAUAACUUUCUCCACGAUGCCUACUGACCAGACUACCUUCUUAUAG